RNAcentral lists this long non-coding RNA (537 nucleotides) under Homo sapiens (human). RNAcentral's name for it is "HSALNT0323827". The record is from RNAcentral. Lineage: Eukaryota; Metazoa; Chordata; Mammalia; Primates; Hominidae.
CGAACGAGGGCGUGUCACAACUCAUUCGGUCCCGCUGCCUAGAUGGGCGAGCCAACCAGAAGCGUGCUGCUGCCCUUUUCACUGCCACUAUGCGGCAGGUUCCAGGUUCUUGUUCUGUGACCAGAAGAAUGAGUGAUCAUAAGACAAGAAAUAUAUAAACAAAAAAUGAAACCAUGAAAAUAGAAGCAUUUAUAGAAGCUGCACUACAGCAUCUAAUCAGGAGGAUUUUUUUCCAAGCAUCAGUGACAGUGCUGGACUACACAGUGGAGGAACCUCGAAAACAUUUUGCUAAGUAAAAGAAGCUGGACAAAAAAUGGUCACAUGCUGUGUGAUUCCAUUUAUAUAAAAUAUCCAGCAUAGGGGAAAUCUAUAAAGAUAGAAAAUUGAUGCUUGACAGGGGCUGGGGAAACGGAGAUUGUGGAAUAAAUGCUUGAUACGCAUGGGAUUUCUAGAGAGGUGGUGAUUGUACAACAUUGUGAAUCUACAGAAUGUCACUGAAUGGUUCACUUUAAAAUGGUUAAUUUUAUGUUAUGUGAA